GUGUGUGUGUUGUUCAGGGAGCUUCCUCCUCGGGAUUUUACUAUACAUAGUCAUUACAGUGAACUGCUCGAUAGGUUUGUUGUUCAGUAGGCUACAUGAACGGAUGGCCAUCUGGCAAUUCAGGCAAGUGCCAGUGGGACUGGCCCGUCGUGUAUUGGGAAGAGCAUAUCUAAAAUAAAAAUAAAAAAUACACGUUUUUAUAAUUUUUUUAGGGGAUGGGCAGCCAUCUCGUAGUAGUGAUUGGGACCGAUGAUUGCUCUGUAUGGUAGCCAAGAAAUAUGGUCAUUUUAGAGGACCACUUUUUCCCCCUUGUGAAGAUCCCAUAUUCCAGGAUGAUAACCCUUACACACUGCUAAACUAAUUCAAGAGAAAAUGUAUGAACACCAGGACGAUGUCAAACACAUUCCAUUGCCUCUGCAAUCUGAACUCUGUUGAACCUUUUAUGGCACUUCUGGAAUGCAGAUUGAGAAGUGAGCUCAGGUAAGGACUGAUGAGAACAGCAGGCCAAUGGAGCCCAUACAUCAGCGAUAGACGCAGGUGACAGCUGCUCCGAAUUCCUCCAUCCACCAUGGGACCACACAGUGUUCUUCACCUGGAAGAAGACGAGAGAUGAAGUAUGGCUGAGGUUGGUCAAGAGAAUCAUGGGAGAGGGCAUCAGCCUUCUGGUUCCAUUCCAGUGUGUUUUGAGACUAGGAUGACUUGAGCGGAAACACAUUGAGAGACUGAUCAAUAGUCUUUCUUCAGAGGGCCUCGGAAAGGUGUUUUGGAUCCUCCGAAUGUACUCUGUAAUGUUUUUGUAAUCAUUUGCACCUGUUUUUGUUCAUUUGAUUAAUAUUUUAGCCAAUUUAUGUGAUUCUGCAUCAGGAAAUUGCUUUUCUGUUUAUUUUAUUUGCAUAAAUGGUUUCAAGGUUAAAGUUUUUUGUGUGAUUUGAUAAAUUGGGUGGGAAUUUUGGCUGGGAAUUUAGCUCAAAUAUGUGUAUAAAUAAUAAAAAUAAAAUCUCUCUUUCCAGGGGAUGUACUUACUUUUAUACAUGACAUUAAUGUACAUGAGAUUUUAUUUGUUCAGUAAACUGGCAUUAGUUUCUAAAAACAUAUUUUGACUUUGUCACAGUGGCGCAUUCUGUUUACAGUAGAUUGAUUGUAAAGAAACAAAGUAAUCAAUAAAAAAGGUCUAUAAUACAACAACAUGGAGAAAGUGAAGGGGUAUGAAUACUUUCUGAAGGCAUUGUAUGUUAUGUUUAUUAUAAAUGCAUGAUGUGCCCUUGCUUUGUAGGCAAA
Esox lucius (northern pike) is the source of this 1278-nucleotide long non-coding RNA. RefSeq lists it as uncharacterized. The transcript is spliced from 3 exons. NCBI's taxonomy places the organism in Eukaryota, Metazoa, Chordata, Actinopteri, Esociformes, Esocidae. The record is from RefSeq and is a predicted model, not a curated record.